UGCGACCGAACCUGCUAGCAAGGAAAAGUUCUUUAAAAUAAUGGAUGUCAGCCGCGUCCAAUCGCAGCGACGAGCCUCCUGCUCGGGGCGGGGCAUAUCCUCGUCGGCCAGUAGACUGCAGGGGGCGGGGCCUGCCGUUCAUGCUUGGUUGCCGUGGAGCACAGCUUCAAGUGAAGUUAAUCUGAGGGGAAGCAAACAGAAAAUUGUGGAGGUUUUGGUGGUAGGAUUUUUGUUCCGAUCUUCUAAUAAUCCUUUAUUUUACACUUUUGCUCCUUUAUGCUUCUGUGUGUGCUCGGUUCUGUCAUUGUGCUAUUUUCUGAUGCAAACCGAACAUUAACAUUAAGCAGGGAAGCAGAACAAAAGGGCUGUUUGGACAGGAAAUAGGUGUUGAGAGGAUCAAACUUGACUUUGUUCGUCAGGAUCUCUAGUUGAGAGCUUGAGUGUGGUUAGAGGUCGUGGGGGCCGGGGUCCUCUCCAGCAACGGGCUUCCUCGCCCUCACACCUGGAGGGGGUCGUGCCCCUGAACUCAGGGGGUCGUUGAAUCCACGGGAGGGCGGGCGGCGGGGGCUCGGGCGCGAGUGCGGUCACUGGUCGGCGUCGCCGGGGCUAUCCCUCCCACCCCCAGGACCCCCCCCAACUACUGUGUGCUCUGGGCUUACCCCCAGCACCUCCUCCUACAGUGUCCCCGGACUCACCCCCAGGAACCCCCCCAACAGUGUCCCCCGGACUCACCCCCACCACCUCCGCCUACAGUGUGCCCCGGACUUGCCCCAGCCCCUCCCCCAUUACAGUAUCCCCCGGACUCACCCCCAACACCUCCCCCUACAGUGUGCCCCGGACUCACCCCCAGCCCCUCCCCCUGCAGUGUGCCCCGGACUCACCCCAGCACCCCCAUCAACUACAGCGUGCUGCGGACGGGGCAGCGGGCUGGCAUCCUUAGUGUGCCCCGGAUUUGUUGUUGAGGAGCUCAUUGACUUCAUUCUGUGUAGCACAAGGUUGAGCUGUGGACACAUUUGCUCCUCCAGGGCUCUGGGAAUGCCAGCACUGAGAGAA
This 1053-nucleotide long non-coding RNA is filed under the name Zalophus californianus (California sea lion). Its description in RNAcentral is "lncRNA (ENSZCAG00015005935.1)". Lineage: Eukaryota; Metazoa; Chordata; Mammalia; Carnivora; Otariidae. The record is from RNAcentral.